RNAcentral lists this ribosomal RNA (465 nucleotides) under uncultured bacterium. RNAcentral describes it as "partial 16S ribosomal RNA". It matches the Rfam family "Bacterial small subunit ribosomal RNA", at positions 338 to 795 of the family's 1533-position model. The record is from RNAcentral.
CCUACGGGAGGCAGCAGUAGGGAAUCUUCCACAAUGGGCGAAAGCCUGAUGGAGCAACGCCGCGUGGGUGAAGAAGGUCUUCGGAUCGUAAAACCCUGUUGUUAGAGAAGAAAGUGCGUGAGAGUAACUGUUCACGUUUCGACGGUAUCUAACCAGAAAGCCACGGCUAACUACGUGCCAGCAGCCGCGGUAAUACGUAGGUGGCAAGCGUUAUCCGGAUUUAUUGGGCGUAAAGGGAACGCAGGCGGUCUUUUAAGUCUGAUGUGAAAGGCGUCGGCUUAACCGGAGUAGUGCAUUGGAAACUGGGAGACUUGAGUGCAGAAGAGGAGAGUGGAACUCCAGGUGUAGCGGUGAAAUGCGUAGAUAUAUGGAAGAACACCAGUGGCGAAAGCGGCUCUCUGGUCUGUAACUGACGCUGAGGUUCGAAAGCGUGGGUAGCAAACAGGAUUAGAUACCCCGGUAGUC